RNAcentral lists this ribosomal RNA (345 nucleotides) under Aptostichus sp. LA. Its description in RNAcentral is "partial 12S ribosomal RNA". The record is from RNAcentral. Lineage: Eukaryota; Metazoa; Arthropoda; Arachnida; Araneae; Euctenizidae.
UUCCAGUACACUAACUUUGUUACGACUUACCUCUUCUUUAGAAGAGGGUGACGGGCGAUAUGAACACCUAAAAUCAAUUUCGUUUUAAAUUUUUAUUUUAAAACUACUUCCAAAUCCUUUUUCGUUUUUUCUUUAGAAAAAAGUCCUUAAAUAAAUUUAAUGGGUAAUUAGUUUCGUCUUUGUCAUUGUCUCCACCUUGACCUGACUUAUUAGAAAUUGUUGAGAGAGAUUAUUAAAAUUCUUUCUUUAGACGGCGGUAUAAAAGAAAUAAAACAAAGAGAAAUUAAACGGGUAAAGUCGGUAAGAAACAAAUUCCUCUGGGAAGAAAAAAGGCCGCCAAAAAGU